Non-coding RNA from Salvia hispanica, 2379 nucleotides. The record is from RefSeq and is a predicted model, not a curated record. Lineage: Eukaryota; Viridiplantae; Streptophyta; Magnoliopsida; Lamiales; Lamiaceae.
UGGUAGCUAUUAAGAAUUUAAAUGGAAUUAUUAGGAAAGAGGUGAUUAUUAACAAUGGCCGGCGGGGGAGACGGAGAGAGUUUGAAGUAUACGCCAACGUGGGUGCUGGCGUUGGUGUGUACGGUGAUCGUCGCCAUCUCUUUGAUUGCAGAAAGAAUCCUUCACUACACUGGCAAGUUCUUGGUGAGGAAAAAGCAAUGGCCCCUUUUCGAAGCGUUGCUCAAGAUUAAGGAAGAGUUGAUGUUGCUUGGAUUCAUAUCACUGCUGCUCACUGUUUUCCAAGAUAGAAUCAGCACAAUAUGCAUAGCACAACAUUUAACAUAUGACUGGCUACCUUGCAAAAAGGAAAAAGAUGAUCAAGAAGGCGAUGGUGGUAGUGGCCACCGCCGCCUUCUUGCAGCGCCAUCUGAUGCUCAAGGCCAUUGUCAAUUAGAGGGGAAGGCUCCAUUGUUGUCUCUACAGGCAUUGCAUGAUCUCCAUAUAUUCAUAUUUGUGCUAGCUGUGGUGCAUGUUGUAUUCUCUGCUCUAACAAUUCUCUUUGGAAGCUUACAGAUUCGGCAAUGGAAACAUUGGGAAGAUGCUAUCCAGAAAAAGGAAGGCGAUCAAGAACAAGGGCAGCAACAGCAAGAAAAAGUAACACACAUCCACCAGCAUGAUUUCAUUAGAGGGAGGUUUCUUGGCAUUGGGAAAGACUUGGCUCUUUUGAGUUGGCUGGUAAGUGGUAGCUCUCAUUUUCUUCCAAAUACUACACUACUCUUUCUUGUAACUCUUCUUUUUCAGCACUCCUUUUUCAAGCAAUUUUAUGGAUCUGUGAAUGAACUAGAUUACACCACUCUUCGCCGCGGCUUCAUCAAUAAUCAUUACAGAGAUAAUCCCAAGUUCAACUUCUACAAGUACAUGCUCCGUGCUCUCGAAACUGAUUUCAAGAAAGUCGUCGGUAUAAGUUGGUAUUUAUGGAUUCUUGUGGUGCUUUUCUUGCUGCUCAAUGUUCAUGGAUGGCAUGCAUAUUUCUGGAUUGCAUUCUUGCCCUUGAUUCUUCUUCUUGCUGUGGGAGCAAAACUUGAGCACAUUAUCACUCAACUAGCAAGAGAAGUGGCUCAAAGGCAUGUAGCAAUACCUGGGGAGCUUGUGGUGAAGCCUUCUGAUCAUCAUUUCUGGUUCAACAAACCGCGUCUCGUCCUCAUCCUCAUCCACAUUAUUCUCUUCCAGAACUCCUUCGAGAUCGCAGUUUUCUUCUGGGUGUUGGUCUUGUAUGGCUUCGAUUCUUGCAUCAUGGGAGAAUUCGGCUACAUAAUCCCCCGGCUCAUAAUAGGGGUGCUGGUGCAGCUUCUUUGCAGUUAUAGUACCCUGCCACUGUAUGCCAUUGUUGCUCAGAUGGGAAGCUCAUUCAACAAGGCUAUAUUUGAAGAUCACAUACAAGCCAAGAUCACAGGCUGGGCAAACAAGGCAAAGAUAAACAGGAAAAAUGUAGACGGCGGCAAUAAAAAAACUCCCUCGCCGCAGCCACCUGCCACGGAGUCGACCACAGAUCAAGGCAGAGAAAUUGAAAUCCAAACUAUAAGUGCUCCAUCAAAUGGUCAGAACUGAGGGAUUUCAGAAUAUGGAGCUCUAAAAAGAAUGUAAUUCAAGAUUUCUGAGUAGUCAAUAAUUCAUAUAUAGCCAAAAGAGAAGUACAUGUAGCACUAUAAAUCUAUUGAUCAACUGCGAGUUUUCAGGUGGUGAGGAAAAUUUUGUUUACAACAUCCACAGGUAAUGCAUAAGCUGGAUCUAUAGCUUUGAGUCCGGGAUAUUCAAGAAGCGAAAGACCUGAAUUCACCAAAAAACAAAUGGCCAAGUGUUGCAUUUUAGCAAGUAAAACAUACAAAAAGGAGGGCAGUAGUAGUAGUAGUAGCUCAAAAUCUUACCAGCAACACCAAAAUAGGUGUGGAAGACAUCGACAGCAUCAUCAGGUCUGUCUGAGAUUCCACCAUUCUCUUUAUCCUGCGCCAUUCAAGGAUACAGCGUCAAAGAUUACUCUAUACAUAUUUCAUACGAGGAAAGAAUCACUCACAUCAGGAAGCUUCUCAGGGCGCCCGUUUAAACCUCCGGAUUUUACUUGACGUUCACAUAACCACCAUCCAAGGAGAUCCUUGUCAACAUGAUCUAGAGAACCAGUGAUAGCAAGAGCUCCCACACAACAGAAAACUGCAAUAACAACUCAGCAACAUGUGUCCACAUCAGUUAGUUUUGACACUUGGGCCAAACAUUUCAUUUUCCAGAAAUCCAGUCACAGAAAUCAAUGAUUUUGUGGUAUGACUUCUCCCGCAGCGGAAUAAGAGGGAUUAUGACUCGUACUAAGUUAAGUUAUCAGGUUUAUAAAUCUGUAGGUAUUAAUGUUCU